GUUGUAGUUGGAGAGCCCAAUGCCUUAUAAACCCCACAUUAGAAUCCCAUACUUCCAAUGUGGGACUCAAGUCCCAUACCUUGGCAAUGGGGUCCUAACAACACUUUUUGAAGGUUUGUUUUGUUUAUGGCGAACACUUAGGGGCCACACCCGUUUUAGGAGGCAGCAAUGCCACCCGUAUGUGGCACCAUAGGAAACUGACCUGUGUCAUCUCAUGCCUUGUCAGCGUUUGACCAGGGAAGAUUUUCACUUCUCACACUUUAGUCCCUGUACUUUGCUUUAUUUAUAAAAUUGUAUUUAAUUAUUUAUCGAAAAUAAUUAUGAAAUUCUAAUAAACGUAAAAUCAAUCUGAAAUACAUCUUUUCUUUGUCCUUCGUCUUCUUCCUUCAUCCACCGCACCCAACCGGUGGUGGUUCCAACACGGUCCUCAACCACAAAUCUAUUCUAAACCCUAACUCGUCAUGCAUCUUCUGUUUUGAUAAAAUCCUUUUUUUCUCUUUUUACAUUCAGAUUUAAUUUAUAAUGGGUUCUUGUACAUAAACCCUAACACACACAACAAUCUUCAGCAAUGGCCGAGGAAGAUAGCUACAACCUCUCUUCUUCCUCACAAGACGAAAUCUCCCUUUUCCUCCGUCAGAUUCUUCUCUGUUCAUCCUCUUCUUCCAACCCCAAUAUGCCUCCAUCCUCCAACUCACCCCUUCAUUCCACCGCCGGAGCCUUUCUCUCCGCUCCGCCUCACCCACUGCUUGCUGCAAAUGUGUCCUCCUCCUCUCUAGGUAUCAGUGAGAACGAGGCUGAUGAAUAUGACUGUGAAAGUGAGGUAUUGCUUCCUUCUCUUCAAACUUUCCUUUCCCUUUCCUCUGCAUCUUUGUGAAACUGGUGGCCUAAAAAAUUGUUACUUGGAUUCUGGGUAUGUUACUGGUUGGGAUCUUUGUGAAAUUGGUGCUAAGAAGGGAGGAUUUUGUUGCUUUUUUUUUGGGAUUUGAUUUUAAGUGAAAAACUAUGUUCAUUUUUUAGGUACAUUUGUUUGAUGAUUUCUCUGAAUGAAGGAGGGCAUUGAAGCAUUGGGUGAAGAGGUUAGGACAAAGUCUGUUCCUUCUUCUAGGAGCUCAUCUAAAAGGACUAGAGCAGCAGAGGUUCUUAAUUUGUCUGGAAAGAGGAGAAGGAGCAGGAUCAAUGAGAAUAUGAAGGCUUUGCAAAAUCUAAUUCCAAACUCUAACAAGACUGAUAAGGCUUUCAUGCUUGAUGAAGCUAUUGAUUACCUUAAACAGCUUCAGCUCCAAGUACAGGAUGCAGGAGACCCGGAAUCAGCAAAUUUGCUUCAAUUAGACAUGAUGGAGAAGGCUAGGAGACCUGCAUUUCCUGUGCAGCAGAGGUUGUUGGUUUCCCCCAUGCUGAGCAAGGGUCGGGUGAACCAACUCUUUCAAGAUUGGAUGUCUAGGAUGCCUCAAGAGGAUGAGGAAGAGGAGGAUCCGACAGAGCCAGCGGAAGAAGAAGAGGAGGUUAAUGAAGUGGUUGAUCCUUCACCGGCUUGGAUGGUGGUCGCUUUCAUGCGGAUGUUUUUGAGGCAAGAUCGCCUUCACCGGGAUCUUGAUCUCCACUGGAGGGGAGGAAGCACCUCAGAUCCUGGAUACCAAGGCCCAAUGGAUUUCAAUUCAUUGGAGCAGGGGAUGAUUGAUUUGAGCAUAAUGAAUGACGCCGGAGUUCAUCCGGAUUAUGGUGAUGGAGUGGGUGACCAUGGCCCCAUGGAGUGAUUGUGAUGAGGUAAUUCUAUCUUAGUUUAGGUCAUGCAUCUUUAGCAUAUAUUUUUCAUUUGUGGAUUUUGUUUUCUUUUUAUCAUGCAUCGUUUAGUUAAUUGUUUUUAUUUGUUUUGGGUCUUUUACUCCCUAUACUCACAUGUUUUUGGCUGCUAAGUUGUGCUUCCCUACUUGUGUCGGUUUUGGAAAAUUUGUUUCUUGUGGUUACUCAUGUUGUUUUGGGGAUGAGUGAUUGUAUGUUGGGGAAGAGAGGAGGAGACUUCGGUCUUCCGAGUGUUUCUUUAGAAAUGAGUUGAUUUGAGUCCAUUAAGGGUUUAUCUUUGACCCUUCACUAUAAAAUUUUCCUGGAGGAUCCUAACUCACUGACAAUUCUUGGUUCUGUAUUGAUUUCACACUUUGCAUGCUUUGUGAGACUUGCACUAUUCAUGAGACUUAUAGGUUUUUGAACCUCAGAGUUUUUCUUGGCUUAAAUAUUUGUCCCUAGUUGUCCCUUUUGAGCCUAUUGAAGAUUUCUUUGUUAGCUAAAUGAUUGGGAUGGAUGAUAGGUUGGAUUAUGGGGAGUGUUGGUCCUUACAUUAUGUUGGAGCUAAUAAUUAAAGUUUGAAAAUGUCUCUUGUCCCAAGGAAAAAAUGGAAAAGAAAAAAGAAAGAGAACUCCUAAUCAAAGUUGGAGUGGGAAAAAGAAAAAAGAAAAAAAAAAGAUCUUGAAAAGGGGUCAAGAGACUUGUGCUAAAAGGUUUGUUGUUGAGAGCUCUGGGGGUUACUAUUUGGAUCACACUCAAUGUGCUUUAAAGCCUUAGUUUUCCUUAAGGACCAACCACCUUGUACUUCACCAAGCCACACAUUUCAACCUUUGUGAAGUCUCUUUGAAUUUGUGCAUGUUUGAUCUUUGUUGCUAUUAUGUGAAUGACAUCCAGAACCUAUGAACUUGCUUGUGUGCUUAGUGCACUAAAUUAUAUCUCAUCCUAGGAUUUUAGAUCUAUAUGUUUCUCAUGAUGGACUCUAUACUCUUCUCUUUUCAAAAAGUUGCAUGAGGUGGGUUAUUGGAUCUUUUCUUUUGGAACCAGCUGUAGUUACUCUUUCCCCUAGUUUUUUGGGUAGUAUCCUUUGUGAAGGCACUUGUUUGGGAGCAUUUCUUGCGCUUGAGGGCAAGCAAGUGUUUUCUACGCUCGAGGGCGAGCUGUCGUUGAGUAUAGUGGUGUGAUGACCCUAUGUUAGUAGUUGUUUUAGGGUCAUUUCUUUGAGUGUUUUGAGUCUUUUUCUUUGUCUCAUGUAGUGUUUCUCAUGCAUUUUUGUGUUUAUUUGAGUUUGAGUCAAGUUUUAAUAAUUUUAUGGUUUUAUGAGGGUUGUUUUUGCAUUUUUUAUAGAGUUUAGGACUUGCAUGAGUUUUGGCAUGAUUUUGUGAGGACUAAGGUGGUUAAAAUCCCAUUGAAUUUCUUGAUUUUACUCCUUGUCUUGGUCCUUUAGUGCUGCAGCAGGUAACUUAUGGAAAAGCAAGGUCAAGAUGCAAAGGAAUUGAAGAAAGCAUUCAAAGGGGGUUACAAAAAGCUGAAAAGCCACCAAGAGCGUGCAGCUGGCGCUCAAGUGCCAGCACUCCAGAAGCUGGAGUUUUGCUUCUGCCUCAUGGGCGCUCAAGCGCCCCAGGGCAGCGCUUGAGCGCCCCAGCUCGACUUUUUUGCCUAUAAAUAAGGCUUUAGGCCAUUUUGUUCAGAACUUCUGAUUUUUACUUAGAUUUUUACCAAGUAUUGAAGCUUAGGAAGUGCUUUUAGGGCUUGUGAGAGGCUUCCUCCUUGUAUUUUCCAGGUCUAUGCUCUGUCUCGAUGUUAGGAGGGAUACAUAUACGAUGAUGUUGAUGUUAUAUUAAAGAUCUUAGCUGGCUUCGUACCUCGCAGGGCGCUUUGGCACGGAACAAUGUGAGACAACAAAAAUAGCUGCAUAAGGGAUUCUGACUUAUUUGCAAGAUAUAAUAUGUUCUCUUGAGGAGGAAAAAGAUGUUUAAGUAUGUCAAUUAUCAUUUGAGUGCUCUGUAACGAUUAUGUCAAUUGCAACCUAUCUGGAUAUGAGGCUUAUCUGAAGCGACACACUUCAUAUAUCCAUGGUCUGAGAGACCGGUAUCUAAGAUUUCUGACCAAGACCCCACCUAGUAGAGUUUACGGAGUCUUAUGCAUCUAGAUGCAAGCAUCUUAUAUUGUAAAUGUUUAUGUUUCUUUUGAGUGUAGAUUUGUAACAUCUUUUUAUGCAGUAAAACCUGAUGGUGAAAGUUGAGUUUUAAUACCCUUAUAAAGUAGCAGGAAUGAUUCUCAUAUUAUGGUCUAAUUUCACAAUGAUCCAUUCAUUAGUUUGAUAAAGUUUAAUUCAUAUACAGUUCUUGUGGUUCUGGAAGCAUUUUUUGUCAUGCACCUUUUGGGAAUUGGUCUAAUGAUUAUAAUAUGAAACUUGGCAGUUUGAGAAGUUUUGUUGCUUCCUUGUUAUUUUUAUUUUAUUUUGUGUCUUUUAUAUUUUUUGUUUAGGAUGGUGAGGGAUUGUACCCAAUUUAUCUUCCUUCUUAAAGCAUGUUUAUCAGAAAUAGAUCAAUUUCUUUUUCUGGGGUUAUGAAAUUUCAUGGUAUUUUUAUGCCUUUACGUGAAGUGCAGGUGAAUCUUUGUUAUAACAGAUUGUUGUAUGCUUGGUAUGAUAGGCUAUGAUUUGCUUAAGGAAAUCAAGGAAUCUUCAUCCUUGAGAUACAUACCAGUGGUGAUUAGGUCAUUUGAGAAUGUGCUUUCAAGGAUUAACAAAUGCUUGGAGGAAGGAGUAGAGGAAUUUUUUCUUGAAGCCUGUGUACAUCCUAUUAUAGAUCAACAGAAACAACACUACAAGCCAAUAAUAACAGGAGGAAGGCCAUGGAAGAGGAGACUUCACCUGUGAGUCUGUGACUGACAGAUCAAGGACCAAGAUACAUGGGGUCUAAAAUUGUAUUAUGAUAACUUUUUUUUUUGAAAAUAAAAAAGUUAACUUCAACCGUGGUUGGUGGCUCUAUAGUGUGAUAGAGAUUUGUCCCUUUUACACAUUUUGUGGAAAUAUUUACUUCUAAUUUUGUUUUUUUUAAAAGAAAUAUUCACAAGGAAUUGGACUUCGAAUAUUAUUUUAUUGCAAUGAAUUUUCUUGUUACAUCAAAGUAUAAUUGUUGAAAUUUAAAAAUGCAUUAUUAUCUUUGUAAA
RNA transcript from Lotus japonicus, 4953 nucleotides. It is a transcript of the gene named transcription factor SPATULA-like, with no coding region annotated. NCBI's taxonomy places the organism in Eukaryota, Viridiplantae, Streptophyta, Magnoliopsida, Fabales, Fabaceae. The transcript is spliced from 9 exons. The record is from RefSeq and is a predicted model, not a curated record.